UAAGCGACUAAGCGUACACGGUGGAUGCCCUGGCAGUCAGAGGCGAUGAAGGACGUGCUAAUCUGCGAUAAGCGUCGGUAAGGUGAUAUGAACCGUUAUAACCGGCGAUUUCCGAAUGGGGAAACCCAGUGUGAUUCGUCACACUAUCAUUAACUGAAUCCAUAGGUUAAUGAGGCGAACCGGGGGAACUGAAACAUCUAAGUACCCCGAGGAAAAGAAAUCAACCGAGAUUCCCCCAGUAGCGGCGAGCGAACGGGGAGCAGCCCAGAGCCUGAAUCAGUGUGUGUGUUAGUGGAAGCGUCUGGAAAGGCGCGCGAUACAGGGUGACAGCCCCGUACACAAAAAUGCACAUAUUGUGAGCUCGAUGAGUAGGGCGGGACACGUGGUAUCCUGUCUGAAUAUGGGGGGACCAUCCUCCAAGGCUAAAUACUCCUGACUGACCGAUAGUGAACCAGUACCGUGAGGGAAAGGCGAAAAGAACCCCGGCGAGGGGAGUGAAAAAGAACCUGAAACCGUGUACGUACAAGCAGUGGGAGCCUCUUUAUGGGGUGACUGCGUACCUUUUGUAUAAUGGGUCAGCGACUUAUAUUCUGUAGCAAGGUUAACCGAAUAGGGGAGCCGAAGGGAAACCGAGUCUUAACUGGGCGUUAAGUUGCAGGGUAUAGACCCGAAACCCGGUGAUCUAGCCAUGGGCAGGUUGAAGGUUGGGUAACACUAACUGGAGGACCGAACCGACUAAUGUUGAAAAAUUAGCGGAUGACUUGUGGCUGGGGGUGAAAGGCCAAUCAAACCGGGAGAUAGCUGGUUCUCCCCGAAAGCUAUUUAGGUAGCGCCUCGUGAAUUCAUCUCCGGGGGUAGAGCACUGUUUCGGCAAGGGGGUCAUCCCGACUUACCAACCCGAUGCAAACUGCGAAUACCGGAGAAUGUUAUCACGGGAGACACACGGCGGGUGCUAACGUCCGUCGUGAAGAGGGAAACAACCCAGACCGCCAGCUAAGGUCCCAAAGUCAUGGUUAAGUGGGAAACGAUGUGGGAAGGCCCAGACAGCCAGGAUGUUGGCUUAGAAGCAGCCAUCAUUUAAAGAAAGCGUAAUAGCUCACUGGUCGAGUCGGCCUGCGCGGAAGAUGUAACGGGGCUAAACCAUGCACCGAAGCUGCGGCAGCGACACUAUGUGUUGUUGGGUAGGGGAGCGUUCUGUAAGCCUGUGAAGGUGUGCUGUGAGGUAUGCUGGAGGUAUCAGAAGUGCGAAUGCUGACAUAAGUAACGAUAAAGCGGGUGAAAAGCCCGCUCGCCGGAAGACCAAGGGUUCCUGUCCAACGUUAAUCGGGGCAGGGUGAGUCGACCCCUAAGGCGAGGCCGAAAGGCGUAGUCGAUGGGAAACAGGUUAAUAUUCCUGUACUUGGUGUUACUGCGAAGGGGGGACGGAGAAGGCUAUGUUGGCCGGGCGACGGUUGUCCCGGUUUAAGCGUGUAGGCUGGUUUUCCAGGCAAAUCCGGAAAAUCAAGGCUGAGGCGUGAUGACGAGGCACUACGGUGCUGAAGCAACAAAUGCCCUGCUUCCAGGAAAAGCCUCUAAGCAUCAGGUAACAUCAAAUCGUACCCCAAACCGACACAGGUGGUCAGGUAGAGAAUACCAAGGCGCUUGAGAGAACUCGGGUGAAGGAACUAGGCAAAAUGGUGCCGUAACUUCGGGAGAAGGCACGCUGAUAUGUAGGUGAAGUCCCUUGCGGAUGGAGCUGAAAUCAGUCGAAGAUACCAGCUGGCUGCAACUGUUUAUUAAAAACACAGCACUGUGCAAACACGAAAGUGGACGUAUACGGUGUGACGCCUGCCCGGUGCCGGAAGGUUAAUUGAUGGGGUUAGCGGUAACGCGAAGCUCUUGAUCGAAGCCCCGGUAAACGGCGGCCGUAACUAUAACGGUCCUAAGGUAGCGAAAUUCCUUGUCGGGUAAGUUCCGACCUGCACGAAUGGCGUAAUGAUGGCCAGGCUGUCUCCACCCGAGACUCAGUGAAAUUGAACUCGCUGUGAAGAUGCAGUGUACCCGCGGCAAGACGGAAAGACCCCGUGAACCUUUACUAUAGCUUGACACUGAACAUUGAGCCUUGAUGUGUAGGAUAGGUGGGAGGCUUUGAAGUGUGGACGCCAGUCUGCAUGGAGCCGACCUUGAAAUACCACCCUUUAAUGUUUGAUGUUCUAACGUUGGCCCCUAAUCGGGGUUGCGGACAGUGUCUGGUGGGUAGUUUGACUGGGGCGGUCUCCUCCUAAAGAGUAACGGAGGAGCACGAAGGUUGGCUAAUCCUGGUCGGACAUCAGGAGGUUAGUGCAAUGGCAUAAGCCAGCUUGACUGCGAGCGUGACGGCGCGAGCAGGUGCGAAAGCAGGUCAUAGUGAUCCGGUGGUUCUGAAUGGAAGGGCCAUCGCUCAACGGAUAAAAGGUACUCCGGGGAUAACAGGCUGAUACCGCCCAAGAGUUCAUAUCGACGGCGGUGUUUGGCACCUCGAUGUCGGCUCAUCACAUCCUGGGGCUGAAGUAGGUCCCAAGGGUAUGGCUGUUCGCCAUUUAAAGUGGUACGCGAGCUGGGUUUAGAACGUCGUGAGACAGUUCGGUCCCUAUCUGCCGUGGGCGCUGGAGAACUGAGGGGGGCUGCUCCUAGUACGAGAGGACCGGAGUGGACGCAUCACUGGUGUUCGGGUUGUCAUGCCAAUGGCACUGCCCGGUAGCUAAAUGCGGAAGAGAUAAGUGCUGAAAGCAUCUAAGCACGAAACUUGCCCCGAGAUGAGUUCUCCCUGACCCUUUAAGGGUCCUGAAGGAACGUUGAAGACGACGACGUUGAUAGGCCGGGUGUGUAAGCGCAGCGAUGCGUUGAGCUAACCGGUACUAAUGAACCGUGAGGCUUAACCUUA
Molecule: ribosomal RNA, 2902 nt
Filed under: Escherichia coli PCN033
Lineage: Bacteria; Pseudomonadati; Pseudomonadota; Gammaproteobacteria; Enterobacterales; Enterobacteriaceae
Description: bacterial LSU rRNA
Rfam family: Bacterial large subunit ribosomal RNA
Source: RNAcentral